CUGAGGGAUCUCCUCCCAGACCUGGACUAAAGCAUCUGCCAACUCCUGGAAGCCUGUGGUGCAACGCGAUGUUGGUGGAUGGAGCGAGAUGUGAUGUCCCAGACGUGCUCAAUUGGAUUCAGGUCUGGGGAACUUGCGGGCCAGUCCAUAGCAUCAAUGCCUUCGUCUUGCAGGAACUGCUGACACUUUUCAGCCACAUUGUCUUGCAUUAGGAGGAACCCAGGGCCAACCGCAC
Pelobates cultripes (western spadefoot toad) is the source of this 235-nucleotide non-coding RNA. The record is from the annotation of a GenBank genome assembly. Lineage: Eukaryota; Metazoa; Chordata; Amphibia; Anura; Pelobatidae.